This 498-nucleotide ribosomal RNA is filed under the name uncultured bacterium. RNAcentral describes it as "partial 16S ribosomal RNA". It matches the Rfam family "Bacterial small subunit ribosomal RNA", at positions 899 to 1397 of the family's 1533-position model. The record is from RNAcentral.
ACUCAAAUGAAUUGACGGGGGCCCGCACAAGCGGUGGAGCAUGUGGUUCAAUUCGACGCAACGCGAAGAACCUUACCUGGGCUCGAAAUGUAGGAGAUUGGGGUAGAAAUAUCCCUUUCCGCAAGGACUGCUACAUAGGUGCUGCAUGGCUGUCGUCAGCUCGUGUCGUGAGAUGUUGGGUUAAGUCCCGCAACGAGCGCAACCCUUAUCCCUAGUUGCCAUCGGGUCAAGCCGGGCACUCUAGUGAAACCGCACAGGAUAACUGUGAGGAAGGUGGGGAUGACGUCAAGUCCUCAUGGCCUUUAUGUCCAGGGCUACACACGUGCUACAAUGCGCGGUACAAAACGUCGCAAACCCGUGAGGGGGAGCUAAUCGGAAAAAGCCGCGCUCAGUUCGGAUUGGAGUCUGCAACCCGACUCCAUGAAGCUGGAAUCGCUAGUAAUCGCGGAUCAGAACGCCGCGGUGAAUACGUUCCCGGGCCUUGUACACACCGCCCGU